AUUGAACGCUGGCGGCAGGCCUAACACAUGCAAGUCGAGCGGAUGAAGGGAGCUUGCUCCUGGAUUCAGCGGCGGACGGGUGAGUAAUGCUUAGGAAUCUGCCUGGUAGUGGGGGAUAACGUCCGGAAACGGGCGCUAAUACCGCAUACGUCCUGAGGGAGAAAGUGGGGGAUCUUCGGACCUCACGCUAUCAGAUGAGCCUAGGUCGGAUUAGCUAGUUGGUGGGGUAAAGGCCUACCAAGGCGACGAUCCGUAACUGGUCUGAGAGGAUGAUCAGUCACACUGGAACUGAGACACGGUCCAGACUCCUACGGGAGGCAGCAGUGGGGAAUAUUGGACAAAGGGCGAAAGCCUGAUCCAGCCAUGCCGCGUGUGUGAAGAAGGUCUUCGGAUUGUAAAGCACUUUAAGUUGGGAGGAAGGGCAGUAAGUUAAUACCUUGCUGUUUUGACGUUACCAACAGAAUAAGCACCGGCUAACUUCGUG
RNAcentral lists this ribosomal RNA (484 nucleotides) under uncultured bacterium. RNAcentral's name for it is "partial 16S ribosomal RNA". It matches the Rfam family "Bacterial small subunit ribosomal RNA", at positions 30 to 507 of the family's 1533-position model. The record is from RNAcentral.